UUUGCUUGUGGAGACUGUGCAUGCUUCAACAGCCAUUUGUGAAUAUGCACAUUUCCAAAUUGUCAGCAAUGAGAAACAGAGGAAUCACUUUUCAACUUCUGAUCUUCCAAGUACUCUUAAUGGGCAUGUAUCCAGGCAUUUGCAUUAAUGUCAAGAACUGCUUAAGUGCCAAACUGCUCCCUGCUUAAUUCUGAGCAAGCCUGUGAACCUAGAUCUGCAGCAAAAAUCAAGAUGUAAAUUCCCUGCUGCAGUUUUGUUUAUGUGCUUGUACAUCAGAGAAUGAUCAUGCUAAGAAAUCGUUAACGGUCAGCUAUGAAGAGAAACAGCGCUGACCAUUCAGGAUCUGCAGACACGUGCAAAGCAGCGUACCGUGGAAGCGGAGAAGGGAACCUGGUAC
Molecule: long non-coding RNA, 397 nt
Organism: Struthio camelus australis
Lineage: Eukaryota; Metazoa; Chordata; Aves; Struthioniformes; Struthionidae
Source: RefSeq, a predicted model, not a curated record